GAUGAACGCUAGCUACAGGCUUAACACAUGCAAGUCGAGGGGUAACGAGAGGGAAGCUUGCUUUCCUUGUCGACGACCGGCGCACGGGUGAGUAACGCGUAUCCAACCUGCCCCCAACUAGGGAAUAACCUUGCGAAAGUAAGACUAAUACCCUAUAAUUUCCUCAGAUGUCAUCUGACGAGGAAUAAAGAUUUAUCGGUUGUGGAUGGGGAUGCGUCUGAUUAGCUUGUUGGCGGGGUAACGGCCCACCAAGGCAACGAUCAGUAGGGGUUCUGAGAGGAAGGUCCCCCACAGUGGAACUGGGACACGGUCCAAACGCCUACGGGAGGCAGCAGUGAGGAAUAUUGGUCAAUGGGCGGAAGCCUGAACCAGCCAAGUAGCGUGCAGGAUGACGGCCCUAUGGGUUGUAAACUGCUUUUAUACAGGAAUAAAGUUAGCCACGUGUGGUUAUUUGUAGGUACUGUAUGAAUAAGGACCGGCUAAUUCCGUGCCAGCAGCCGCCGUAA
RNAcentral lists this ribosomal RNA (506 nucleotides) under uncultured bacterium. Its description in RNAcentral is "partial 16S ribosomal RNA". It matches the Rfam family "Bacterial small subunit ribosomal RNA", at positions 28 to 523 of the family's 1533-position model. The record is from RNAcentral.